AUCAAUAAGCGGAGGAAAAGAAAAUAACAAUGAUUCCCCUAGUAACGGCGAGUGAACAGGGAAAAGCUCACAGUUGGAACCUAGCUGCCUUAGGUAGUUCGGAUUGUAAACUGAAAAAGUGUUAUCCAGGCUAGCCGAGUAAAUAAGUUUCUUGGAACAGAACAUCAUGGAGGGUGAGAAUCCCGUCUUUGGCUUGAGCAUAGUCUUUUGUGUUGCACUUUAACGAGUCAGGUUGUUUGGGAAUGCAGCCUAAAGUGGGAGGUAAAUCCCUCCUAAAGCUAAAUAUUGGCGAGAGACCGAUAGCAAACAAGUACCGUGAGGGAAAGAUGAAAAGAACUUUGAAAAGAGAGUUAAACAGUAUGUGAAAUUGCUAAAAGGGAAGCGUUUGAAGACAGACUAGCUUGGUUAUAAUCAGCCUGGAUUUUUCUUGGUGUACUUGUAGCCUAUGCUUGUCAACAGCAGUUUGGUCUGGCUGAAAAAACUGAUAGUAAGGUGGCUCUCUUCGGGGAGUGUUAUAGACUGUUAGAAAAUCAGUUGGACUGGACUGAGGAAUGCAAUGCAGCUUGCCUUGGGGUGAACCAGAUUGGAUAGGAACCAUUGUUCUUUGAAGGUUUGGGUAGCUCUCGAACUGUAUUAGUUGU
Molecule: ribosomal RNA, 641 nt
Filed under: Circinella umbellata
Lineage: Eukaryota; Fungi; Mucoromycota; Mucoromycetes; Mucorales; Lichtheimiaceae
Description: eukaryotic LSU rRNA
Rfam family: Eukaryotic large subunit ribosomal RNA
Source: RNAcentral